RNAcentral lists this transfer RNA (63 nucleotides) under Clerus sp. RNAcentral's name for it is "tRNA-Cys". The record is from RNAcentral. Lineage: Eukaryota; Metazoa; Arthropoda; Insecta; Coleoptera; Cleridae.
AUCUAAAUAUUCAAUAAUGAUUUUAAAUUGCAAAUUUAAAGGUAAAAUUAAUUUUUUUAGAUU